GAUGAACGCUGGCGGCGUGCCUAAUACAUGCAAGUCGAGCGAACGGACGAGAAGCUUGCUUCUCUGAUGUUAGCGGCGGACGGGUGAGUAACACGUGUAUAACCUACCUAUAAGACUGGGAUAACUUCGGGAAACCGGAUCUAAUACCGGAUAAUAUUUUGCACCGCAUGGUUCAAAAGUGAAAGACGGUCUUGCUGUCACUUAUAGAUGGAUCCGCGCUGCAUUAGCUAGUUGGUAAGGUAACGGCUUACCAAGGCAACGAUGCAUAGCCGACCUGAGAGGGUGAUCGGCCACACUGGAACUGAGACACGGUCCAGACUCCUACGGGAGGCAGCAGUAGGGAAUCGUCCGCAAUGGGCGAAAGCCUGACGGAGCAACGCCGCGUGAGUGAUGAAGGUCUUCGGAUCGUAAAACUCUGUUAUUAGGGAAGAACAUAUGUGUAAGUAACUGUGCACAUCGUGACGGUACCUAAUCAGAAAGCCACGGCUAACUACGUG
This 497-nucleotide ribosomal RNA is filed under the name uncultured bacterium. RNAcentral's name for it is "partial 16S ribosomal RNA". It matches the Rfam family "Bacterial small subunit ribosomal RNA", at positions 28 to 507 of the family's 1533-position model. The record is from RNAcentral.